This 281-nucleotide ribosomal RNA is filed under the name Biatora pontica. Its description in RNAcentral is "partial small subunit ribosomal RNA". It matches the Rfam family "Bacterial small subunit ribosomal RNA", at positions 925 to 1231 of the family's 1533-position model. Lineage: Eukaryota; Fungi; Ascomycota; Lecanoromycetes; Lecanorales; Ramalinaceae. The record is from RNAcentral.
UCAUUAGACCGUUUCUGAAACCAGUAGUGAAGUAUGUUGUUUAAUUAGAUAAUCCGCUAAAAACCUUACCACAGCUUGAAUGUUUAUAUAUUUUAUAUAUUCACAAGUGUUGCACGGCUGUCUUCAGUUAAUGUCGUGAGAUUUUGGUUAGAUCCAUUAAAUUAACGCAAGCCCUUACUUUAUUUUUAAAUAAAGUAGUUCCCCAUUAUAUCGGACAUGAUAACAGGGACUAAGACAAGUCAUCAUGGCCUGAAUGCUGUGGGCUAUAGACGUGCCACAUA